RNAcentral lists this ribosomal RNA (406 nucleotides) under uncultured Akkermansia sp. RNAcentral describes it as "bacterial SSU rRNA". It matches the Rfam family "Bacterial small subunit ribosomal RNA", at positions 354 to 771 of the family's 1533-position model. The record is from RNAcentral. Lineage: Bacteria; Pseudomonadati; Verrucomicrobiota; Verrucomicrobiia; Verrucomicrobiales; Akkermansiaceae.
GUCGAGAAUCAUUCACAAUGGGGGAAACCCUGAUGGUGCGACGCCGCGUGGGGGAAUGAAGGUCUUCGGAUUGUAAACCCCUGUCAUGUGGGAGCAAAUUAAAAAGAUAGUACCACAAGAGGAAGAGACGGCUAACUCUGUGCCAGCAGCCGCGGUAAUACAGAGGUCUCAAGCGUUGUUCGGAAUCACUGGGCGUAAAGCGUGCGUAGGCUGUUUCGUAAGUCGUGUGUGAAAGGCGCGGGCUCAACCCGCGGACGGCACAUGAUACUGCGAGACUAGAGUAAUGGAGGGGGAACCGGAAUUCUCGGUGUAGCAGUGAAAUGCGUAGAUAUCGAGAGGAACACUCGUGGCGAAGGCGGGUUCCUGGACAUUAACUGACGCUGAGGCACGAAGGCCAGGGGAGCGA